GGAGAGAUGGCUUAGUGGUUGAGAGCACUGGCUGAGAGCAUACCUCUUCCAGAGGUCCUGAGUUCAAUUCUCAGCAACCCCA
RNAcentral lists this transfer RNA (82 nucleotides) under Mus musculus (house mouse). It matches the Rfam family "tRNA". Rfam says of the family: Transfer RNA (tRNA) molecules are approximately 80 nucleotides in length. Their secondary structure includes four short double-helical elements and three loops (D, anti-codon, and T loops). Further hydrogen bonds mediate the characteristic L-shaped molecular structure. tRNAs have two regions of fundamental functional importance: the anti-codon, which is responsible for specific mRNA codon recognition, and the 3' end, to which the tRNAs corresponding amino acid is attached (by aminoacyl-tRNA synthetases). tRNAs cope with the degeneracy of the genetic code in two manners: having more than one tRNA (with a specific anti-codon) for a particular amino acid; and 'wobble' base-pairing, i.e. permitting non-standard base-pairing at the 3rd anti-codon position. The record is from Rfam by way of RNAcentral. Lineage: Eukaryota; Metazoa; Chordata; Mammalia; Rodentia; Muridae.